This 470-nucleotide ribosomal RNA is filed under the name Arthrobacter sp. RNAcentral describes it as "bacterial SSU rRNA". It matches the Rfam family "Bacterial small subunit ribosomal RNA", at positions 24 to 487 of the family's 1533-position model. Lineage: Bacteria; Bacillati; Actinomycetota; Actinomycetes; Micrococcales; Micrococcaceae. The record is from RNAcentral.
UCAGGAUGAACGCUGGCGGCGUGCUUAACACAUGCAAGUCGAACGAUGAUCCUCAGCUUGCUGGGGGGAUUAGUGGCGAACGGGUGAGUAACACGUGAGUAACCUGCCCUUGACUCUGGGAUAAGCCUGGGAAACCGGGUCUAAUACUGGAUAUGACCUUCUGGCGCAUGCCAUGUUGGUGGAAAGCUUUUGUGGUUUUGGAUGGACUCGCGGCCUAUCAGCUUGUUGGUGGGGUAAUGGCUUACCAAGGCGACGACGGGUAGCCGGCCUGAGAGGGUGACCGGCCACACUGGGACUGAGACACGGCCCAGACUCCUACGGGAGGCUAGCUAGUGGGGAAUAUUGCACUAAUGGGCGCUAAGCUCUGAUGCAGCGACGCCGCGUGAGGGAUGAAGGCCUUCGGGUUGUAAACCUCUUUCAGUAGGGAAGAAGCUGGUCCUUUUGGGGGUUGGUGACGGUACCUGCAGAAG